ACGGNAGGCAGCAGUGAGGAAAAUAUUGCGCAAGUGGGCGAAAGCCCUGAACUGACGCAGCGACGCGCGUGGAGGAUGAAGGCUUCGGGUUGUAAACUCCUGUCAGUGGGGAAGAGAAUGGACGGUACCCACUGAGGAAGCUUCGGCUAACUACGUGCCAGCAGCCGCGGDAAAAANACACCAAUNU
Molecule: ribosomal RNA, 187 nt
Filed under: uncultured bacterium
Lineage: Bacteria
Description: partial 16S rRNA
Rfam family: Bacterial small subunit ribosomal RNA
Source: RNAcentral